RNAcentral lists this ribosomal RNA (448 nucleotides) under uncultured bacterium. Its description in RNAcentral is "bacterial SSU rRNA". It matches the Rfam family "Bacterial small subunit ribosomal RNA", at positions 328 to 793 of the family's 1533-position model. The record is from RNAcentral.
CUACUCGACUCCUACGGGAGGCAGCAGUGGGGAAUAUUGGACAAUGGGCGAAAGCCUGAUCCAGCCAUGCCGCGUGGGUGAAGAGGCCUUAGGGUUGUAAACCCCUUUCAGCGGGGAAGAUAAUGACGGUACCCGCAGAAGAAGCCCCGGCUAACUCCGUGCCAGCAGCCGCGGUAAUACGGAGGGGGGCUAGCAUUGUUCGGAAUUACUGGGCGUAAAGCGCGCGUAGGCGGACUUUCAAGUCAGGGGUGAAAUCCCGAGGCUCAACCUCGGAACUGCCUCUGAUACUGUAAGUCUUGAGUCCGAGAGAGGUGAGUGGAAUUCCUAGUGUAGAGGUGAAAUUCGUAGAUAUUAGGAAGAACACCAGUGGCGAAGGCGGCUCACUGGCUCGGUACUGACGCUGAGGCGCGAAAGCGUGGGGAGCAAACAGGAUUAGAUACCCUGGUAG